AAAGAGUGAUAACACCAUCCGCAAGAAUAAAGAGAUGGAUAAACUCAGCAGUGCCUGAACUAACAAAAAGGAGUGGAAAGCAGAGGGCCAAACAAGUAAACUUCAUAUUACAGAGGGAAGCAAGAGAAAAAUAAGAGGAAAUUUUCCAGUCAGCCUUGUAUUUGAGUCCCAGAAGACUGAGCUCUACGUUGAUGCUGCCCACACACCCCCACGCUGCUGCUCCAGCUCCUUGUUGACAGAUCUGGGUUGCCACUUCUCUGCACCAGCUGCACAAGGCCCGUUGGUCUUGUUCACGUAAGGACAGCAAACAGCACUUUCACUUUACACAUUCAGCACCUCUGAUCUCAAGGGAGACCUAAGUGUUGAAGUCUGUUCUUAGGGAUUUGUAAAGCCUUCAAAACUGUUUGGGGCAUUUUGGCUUCAGGAGGAGGCCGACCUGCCAUCCCCA
This 448-nucleotide long non-coding RNA is filed under the name Fukomys damarensis (Damara mole-rat). RNAcentral's name for it is "lncRNA (ENSFDAG00000032182.1)". The record is from RNAcentral. Lineage: Eukaryota; Metazoa; Chordata; Mammalia; Rodentia; Bathyergidae.